UAGAUAGCUCAGUCGGUAGAGCAGAGGACUGAAAAUCCUCGUGUCGCUGGUUCGAUUCCGGCUCUAGG
RNAcentral lists this transfer RNA (68 nucleotides) under uncultured Lachnospira sp. It matches the Rfam family "tRNA". From Rfam's summary of the family: Transfer RNA (tRNA) molecules are approximately 80 nucleotides in length. Their secondary structure includes four short double-helical elements and three loops (D, anti-codon, and T loops). Further hydrogen bonds mediate the characteristic L-shaped molecular structure. tRNAs have two regions of fundamental functional importance: the anti-codon, which is responsible for specific mRNA codon recognition, and the 3' end, to which the tRNAs corresponding amino acid is attached (by aminoacyl-tRNA synthetases). tRNAs cope with the degeneracy of the genetic code in two manners: having more than one tRNA (with a specific anti-codon) for a particular amino acid; and 'wobble' base-pairing, i.e. permitting non-standard base-pairing at the 3rd anti-codon position. The record is from RNAcentral. Lineage: Bacteria; Bacillati; Bacillota; Clostridia; Lachnospirales; Lachnospiraceae.